Molecule: non-coding RNA, 858 nt
Organism: Manis javanica (Malayan pangolin)
Lineage: Eukaryota; Metazoa; Chordata; Mammalia; Pholidota; Manidae
Source: RefSeq, a predicted model, not a curated record
CUGCAGGCGGGGUCCUGCGCCUCCGGGCCUGGGCUGCUGCCCGCGCGGUAACUGGAGUAGAAGGUGGCCUGAGAGCGAGUGGGGCCUUCCGUACAGCAAGUCACGCCAGCUUUCCCUUGGCUUACCCCAUGUAGGGGGUCCACGGCUUUCACGCAAAGGACAAACUCUUCCCUUUUGCUCUGGCAGUAACAAUAAUGUAUCUUGUCUUACUACGCAACAUCUUUGUAGCGGGUGCUCUAUGCAGCAAAUCCCCGUCUUUGCAAGUCACAUGAGCAACUCCUGAUAACGGCGAAGAUCUCUGACUUUGUGAUUUGUGAUCGUCAGGGUCUUCCCCAUAUGCACUGGGAUUCACAUACAGCAGAAAAGGACUUUUGGAAGCAGAGUAAAACCAUAAAGAUCAUCACAAGGGAGAUGCAGAACUUUUAUGCAGAGUAACAGGAAAAUUCCAAAGGAACUGGCUUUUCUUAGAAGAUAUGCCAAUACUCUAUCUAGGGGAUUUGAUCCCUAACUUUACAGAUGAGGAUACUGAUCUGCAGAAAUGAGCCACACAACUAAUUAAGAGAUGGAGCUGGGAUUAAAAUCCAGGUAGUCAAAGUUUGCUGUGAUGAGAUGAUUUGCAUGGAUAAUAAAACCAAGGGUGUUUGAGAGACAAAUGCAGGAAUAUAACCUAGCCUGCUUUAUGACACUCAACUUGAUGCGGUUUCCAGGUGUCUCUGUUGAUGUAAUGAAUUCCUAAAAACCCAUUAUCAGUUUGGGCCUCAAAUAUUCAGGUUCAACUUAAGCCCUCAGUCUGGGACAAAGGAAUAAAAUUGUGGAGAACCAGGAAUCAGAGUUUUUCAGAAGAGGAUGCCUAGUUGG